Molecule: ribosomal RNA, 445 nt
Filed under: Escherichia coli
Lineage: Bacteria; Pseudomonadati; Pseudomonadota; Gammaproteobacteria; Enterobacterales; Enterobacteriaceae
Description: partial 23S ribosomal RNA
Rfam family: Bacterial large subunit ribosomal RNA
Source: RNAcentral
GUUAUAGGGUCAAGCGAACAAGUGCAUGUGGUGGAUGCCUUGGCGAUCACAGGCGAUGAAGGACGCGGUAGCCUGCGAAAAGCUACGGGGAGCUGGCAAACAAGCUUUGAUCCGUAGAUGUCCGAAUGGGGAAACCCACUCCUUUUGGAGUAUCCAUGGCUGAAUACAUAGGCCAUGCGAAGCGAACGCGGUGAACUGAAACAUCUAAGUAACCGCAGGAAAAGAAAUCAACCGAGAUUCCCAAAGUAGUGGCGAGCGAAAUGGGAUGAGCCUUGUACUCUUUAUUUGUAUUGUUAGCCGAACGCUCUGGAAAGUGCGGCCAUAGCGGGUGAUAGCCCCGUAGGCGAAAACAGUAUGAAAGAACUAGGUGUACGACAAGUAGGGCGGGACACGUGAAAUCCUGUCUGAAGAUGGGGGGACCAUCCUCCAAGGCUAAAUACUCGUG